UAGGGAGGGUGCAAGCGUUAUCCGGAAUCACUGGGUUUAAAGGGUGCGUAGGCGGCUAAAUAAGUCAGAGGUGAAAGCUUGCAGCUUAACUGCGAAAUUGCCUUUGAUACUGUAUAGCUUGAAAGGAGCUGAGGUCAGCAGAAUGUGGCAUGUAGCGGUGAAAUGCAUAGAUAUGCCAUAGAAUACCAAUUGCGAAGGCAGCUGGCUGGGCUUACUUUGACGCUGAGGCGCGAAAGCGUGGGGAGCAAACAGG
Molecule: ribosomal RNA, 253 nt
Filed under: uncultured bacterium
Lineage: Bacteria
Description: partial 16S ribosomal RNA
Rfam family: Bacterial small subunit ribosomal RNA
Source: RNAcentral